CGUGCAGCUCUUUGUGCAGCAGCAGCAGGAGCAGCACCGCGCCCUGAACGCCUGUCCGAAGAUCCCUCCGUCAGGUGAGACGGAUCGCGCUCCGCAGGUGAAGCUCUCUGAGGGUCUGAAUUAAAGAAAGAAAAAAGGCAUGGAGCCUCGACACUGAAACCAGAACCCCAUUUCACUGAACCCACCUCCAGCUGCGUUCAGGUACCGACAGCAGCUGCGUUCAGGGACUCCGUUUGAACUCGACGGCUGGAUUUACCUGAUCUGCGACUGGAACACCAAGGUUGACCCCCCCUCUGAUGGCCCCCUGAUCCCGCCCCCCCUGCAGUGGGCUCCUCUGACUCCGCUUCGCUCUACUUCCUGCCCCCCCCUCGCAGUAACCAUGGAUACGGACAAGGAGGACACCGCCGGCUGCUACUACAACCGCACCGUGAAGUUCUUCUACGAGGAGAGCGGGAAGAACAUCAGCAUCCAUUGGCGUGGCCGUGACUACGUGAUUGUGACGCUGGGCAUGACGGUGUGUUUCAUCGUGAUCUUCUCCAACCUGCUGGUGAUGGGCGCCAUCCUGAAGAACCGCCGCUUCCACUUCCCCAUUUACUACCUGCUGGGGAACCUGGCCGUGGCCGACCUCUUCUCAGGUGUGUCCUACCUGCACUUGAUGUUCCACACCGGCCCGUGGACCAUCAAGCUCACUAAGUACCGCUGGUUCGUGCGGCAGGGCCUCAUCGACACCAGCCUCACGGCCUCCGUCCUGAACCUUUUGGCCGUGGCGGUGGAGCGGCACCAGACCAUCUUCAACAUGCAGCUGCACAGCAAGAUGAGCACCAGGCGCGUCUUCAUCAUCAUUGUCUUCAUCUGGCUGCUGGCCAUCGUCAUGGGCCUGGUCCCCACCAUGGGCUGGCACUGCCUGUGCGACCUGCCCAACUGCUCCACCAUGGCGCCCAUGUACAGCCGCAGUUACCUGGUGUUCUGGGCGCUGCUGAACCUGCUCACCUUCUCCGUCAUGGUGGCCGUCUACACCCGCAUCUUCCUGUACGUCCGGCACAAGAGCCAGCAGAUGUCCCAGCACACGUCCCAGAUGAGGCACCGCGAGACCGUGUUCAACCUGAUGAAGACUGUGUCCAUGAUCCUGGGCUGCUUCGUGGUCUGCUGGACUCCGGGCCUGGUGGUUCUGUUGCUGGACGGGCUCGGCUGCGACAAGUGUCAAGUUCUGCGCUACGAGAAGUACUGCCUGGUUCUGGCCGAGUGCAACUCCUUCGUCAACCCCAUCAUCUACUCCUUCAGGGACAAGGACAUGAGGCGGACCUUCAAGGAGAUCCUAUGCUUCCUGUGCCGGCGGGGUGACGGCAACAAGAGCACCUCCGGGGUUCACUUUAACACGCUGGAGCACGAGGUACUGUCCGAGAGCAAAGGAGAAAACACGCACGCCCCUGAAUGCACCACCACGCUAAACAGAUGAUCUCCUCCGUCGCUAAACAGAGCUUCCGCACUCCUAGAGGUCACAUGGCUCUCCUAGAGGUCACAUUUCAGGCCCACUCGGUACUUUCACUUUACUUAUCCUAAAAAUACGCCAGAAAGUCCCGGUUUAAAACAGGGUUAGGUCUGCAGAAUAUCACUAGGGUUACCCUCUGCUCCUUUGAGGGAUAUUUUCAGAAUAAAGCAGGAUCCUCUGCUACACACUGACAAACGAAAGGAUGCAUUUCAAUGGGACUGAAACGGGGUCCACCACCGUGGAGAUGUUUGUUUUGCUUUUGCUGAUAUCCUCACAAUAACACAGGGUUCACAGACAGAAUAAAGGUUUAGUUAUUUUCAACAAAAAAACCCAGAAAAUGAUGGUUUUAUAUUUGAGCUACGUUAUUCAGAAGAAAAACACUGAGGGGCAAAUCUGUUAAACGGGUCCCUCGUACUUCCAUUAAACCCCUGUAAUAAAAAAGUGCUGAAAGAGAGGAACCUCCAGAGAGUUUUCGCAGAAUUCAACUCAGAUUUGUAAUUAAUAAUUAUAUUUUGUACACCAUGUGUUCCAGGGUUAGGGUGAGGGAAUGUUUUCCUGGCUCCUCUGUUUUCUCAUCGACUGGGAGCGCUACCCUCAUCUACAUCAUGCUAAUUCAACACUAGCGUUAGCUGUAGCUUAGCUUCCCUGCACCAGCACGGUCUGAGAGGAUGGACGCACAUUUUGAACCCUUCUCAAAAGUAGAGUUGCUCUUUAGUGCAACUCUUAAAUCAUUUUCAGCUGGAAGCUACCGUCAGGAGCCUUGAUUCAGACCUGAUCUCAGUCUGCUGCUCAAACUAAAGCAGAGGUGCUUUUAAGGGUCGUGUGAAGCCUUCAUGCUCCUCGGCUGUAGUCGGUUUCUGUAAAUAUCUGGGUUUCAUAUAUCAAGAAAAGCCCCCCGAGUGUUCGAGCUGGUAGCGAUGAGUUUACCGCUGAUGGGACGCUGAACAGGCUCUCACUUCCUUUCUCAGAUUUAACCAUCGAUGCUUUAACACCUUGCGGCUGAAACUGGAACGAGCUCAAGGCAGGACUUUGUCUUGGUUGUGCAGACUAUGAAGCAGAAAAAAGACUCUGAGGGUUCUGCUCUGCAAGCGUUUCACUGUUUGUGGCUUUGAAUGUCUCUGUGUUCUGCUUUGAAUGUCUCACACGAUGUGUGUGUCUGCGCUCUGCAGGGGAAACUUCCGCUGUUCAUCACGAAGAGGCACAUUGUGGAGAAAUGUUGCAAAAUCAUAAAUCCUUGCACAGUUUGGCUCCGUGUGUCUCCAGUUUCCGUCACCCUUCAUGUAUGAUCUGGAUCUGACUGCAUGACAGCGUGUUCUCCUACAAACCAAACACUCAGUGAGUCAGAUCAUUGCCGAGUGACUCCACACGAACCAGGACUGACCUCUGGUGUGUAGCGGUACAGAACACAUCGAACAACUAUUAUUAAAUCAACAAGUACAAGAAAUAUGUGCAGUUUAUAUCAAAUAAAUGUGGGUUUUCAGCUUUAGACCCUCCCCUAAGGACAGGAGAUACAUAUAUGAAAUUGCAGUUGUGUUUUAGUUCAACAGUAGAUGCUAAAUGUAGAAAUUAAAGAUCGAAAACGUCUCAUUAUUUAACGUUACUCUUCUUGCUUUAAUCAGGUACCCGUCCAAUCAGCUCUGAGGUUAGACUCAAACACAUGGCCCUCUGUCUGCAUGUCUGACAGCAGGGACUGUGGAAGUCCCCUGCUGCCUCUACCUUUUUAAGGGUGUGUGUGUGUGUGUGUGUGUGUGUGUGUGUGUGUGUGUAUGUUGUGCUUUAUCUCACACACACACACACACACACACACACACACACACACACACACACACACACACACACACACACACACACACACACACACACACACACACACACACACACACACACACACAGUGGUUCACUAAACAUGGCUGCGCUGGUUUUAAGGGGUGACUUUGAUUGUCGUUAGACUUCGACUGAUUCCACUUUUGAGGUUUUCUUUUUUACAGUUUUUCUUGUUUGGACAUCUCGUUCUGCUUCGGGUCUGUUUUUGUACAAAGGUUGUUUAAAGUGUUCUGAAUAAAUGUCUGAAGCUGCUGCUGUGUGUCUGCUCCGUGUGCUCUGUGCUCGUCUGUGUGUCCUGUCUCUGUCAGCACAGGGUUCAUCCCGGUGUUCUCAGGCCCUCUUCUUCAUCGUGUAUUCAUAUUCAUCAGCAAGAUGUAUGAUCAGAAACAUCACACAUUAAUGUUCAUAGAAGAAGAAGGAGCCCUUACUGGUCCCACAGAGGACUCCUUACUGGUCCCACAGAGGAAGCCUUACUGGUCCCACAGAGGAAGCCUUACUGGUCCCACAGAGGAAGCCUUACUGGUCCCACAGAGGACUCCUUACUGGUCCCACAGAGGAAGCCUUACUGGUCCCACAGAGGACUCCUUACUGGUCCCACAGAGGAAGCCUUACUGGUCCCACAGAGGAAGCCUUACUGGUCCCACAGAGGAAGCCUUACUGGUCCCACAGAGGAAGCCUUACUGGUCCCACAGAGGAAGCCUUACUGGUCCCACAGAGGAAGCCUUACUGGUCCCACAGAGGACUCCUUACUGGUCCCACAGAGGAAGCCUUACUGGUCCCACAGAGGACUCCUUACUGGUCCCAGAGGCUGUUAGGAGCAGUGGGCCCGGGGAGUAGGGGCUCAUGGACACCUCGGUAGCUCUUGUUCUCUCGGGGACUUGAACUGGUAACCGAAGCCAAGACCCUUUGGACCUCGCCACCCCCCAUCGACACUUGUUUCUGAUCCGGACUCUUUUUUAAAGCUCUGGGUUUUUCCAUGUUUUUUAUUUGUCGGAGCAGCAGAAGAACUAUAAGUCUCGUACAGCAGACCCCCUACCGAGCAGCAGCAAUGGGACGCCCCUGAUCCACCGGCAGCAGGGAGCCCCCCCCCCCUCCGAGACCUGACCACGUGAUGCUGGACUUCGAACAGGAAGCCCCCCCCCCCCCCCCCCCCCAGAGACCUGAACAGGAAGCUAACUUUUCGGAGGAGGAGGAAUCUGUCCUGCUUCCUGUCUUGUUUCAUAUUGAAGUGAACAUCUUCAGACUCUGAGACCUACAGGACCAGAGGAGGGUCUGCAGUCUCCUGACAGCAGCUUUGUAUUUCCCUGCGGGACAGAGACGGACUUGUCUCUGAGUUCUGUGACGGGACUGGAAGGCCUCAUGUGGGUCGCGAAGGACGCUUUGCCCCCCCCCCCCCCCCCCCCCAGUGUCAUUAUCUAAAGCUCAGACCCCCUCUGAUCCUCCUCACAGGUUUUUACUUUGUUUUAAAAUACCACCUAUCUCAUAAACGUCUUUUUUUAGAGCCGUCGUUCUUCUGGAUUUGUUGGAUUUUUCUCAUUUGAUAAUUUAAACUCUUGAUUUAACGACAGAUUACAGAUCGAUGCUCAUUCAAGUGUUUCCUAACCCGGCUAAAUGAAUAAUUUUGUGUUUGAAUUUGGCUUUUAUUCACUUCAAUAAAGCAUGGUUAGUAUGAACUGCUUCAUUGAGCAUUUUAAACCUGUGCUGAUCGUCUGCUUUGAGGAUCUUGUCCUCCUGCUUCUCUUCCCUGGGUUUCUAUCUCUGCAGCACUCUGACAGGCGCUGGAAAUUGUAAAAUGAUGAAGCUUUUUAUUUUUAAUUUCUGUUUGCAUCUCAUAAAGUGUAUUUUUGUAAUUGAUUGUGAUGUUAUUUAUGAUCACACUGUAGAUAUAAUGUACAGCCUUUGACUUCAGAAUCGACUCAAAGCAAACAGGAAGGGGGAUAAAAACCAUUGUCGUUUCCACCACUGGUUUUAUUUGAAUGGUUUGCUCACAUUAAAGGGAAAUACUGUUCUAUUUUAAUACUGAAAAUUAAAGAUGUUUUUGACUAAA
This is an RNA transcript of Eleginops maclovinus (Patagonian blennie), 5360 nucleotides long. It is a transcript of the gene named lysophosphatidic acid receptor 2b, with no coding region annotated. The transcript is spliced from 5 exons. NCBI's taxonomy places the organism in Eukaryota, Metazoa, Chordata, Actinopteri, Perciformes, Eleginopidae. The record is from RefSeq and is a predicted model, not a curated record.